This 1016-nucleotide ribosomal RNA is filed under the name Modicisalibacter zincidurans. RNAcentral describes it as "bacterial SSU rRNA". It matches the Rfam family "Bacterial small subunit ribosomal RNA", at positions 70 to 1070 of the family's 1533-position model. Lineage: Bacteria; Pseudomonadati; Pseudomonadota; Gammaproteobacteria; Oceanospirillales; Halomonadaceae. The record is from RNAcentral.
UACGGGUCCAGCUUGCUGGAUGCCGACGAGCGGCGGACGGGUGAGUAAUGCAUAGGAAUCUGCCCAGUCGUGGGGGAUAACCUGGGGAAACCCAGGCUAAUACCGCAUACGUCCUACGGGAGAAAGCGGGGGCUCUUCGGACCUCGCGCGAUUGGAUGAGCCUAUGUCGGAUUAGCUAGUUGGUGAGGUAACGGCUCACCAAGGCGACGAUCCGUAGCUGGUCUGAGAGGAUGAUCAGCCACACCGGGACUGAGACACGGCCCGGACUCCUACGGGAGGCAGCAGUGGGGAAUAUUGGACAAUGGGCGCAAGCCUGAUCCAGCCAUGCCGCGUGUGUGAAGAAGGCUUUCGGGUUGUAAAGCACUUUCAGUGGGGAAGAAAGCGUGCCGGCCAAUACCCGGUACGGACGACAUCACCCACAGAAGAAGCACCGGCUAACUCCGUGCCAGCAGCCGCGGUAAUACGGAGGGUGCGAGCGUUAAUCGGAAUUACUGGGCGUAAAGCGCGCGUAGGCGGCUAAGUAAGCCGGUUGUGAAAGCCCCGGGCUCAACCUGGGAAUGGCAUCCGGAACUGUUUAGCUAGAGUGCAGGAGAGGAAGGUAGAAUUCCCGGUGUAGCGGUGAAAUGCGUAGAGAUCGGGAGGAAUACCAGUGGCGAAGGCGGCCUUCUGGACUGACACUGACGCUGAGGUGCGAAAGCAUGGGUAGCAAACAGGAUUAGAUACCCUGGUAGUCCAUGCCGUAAACGAUGUCGACUAGCCGUUGGGUCCCUUGAGGACUUAGUGGCGCAGUUAACGCGAUAAGUCGACCGCCUGGGGAGUACGGCCGCAAGGUUAAAACUCAAAUGAAUUGACGGGGGCCCGCACAAGCGGUGGAGCAUGUGGUUUAAUUCGAUGCAACGCGAAGAACCUUACCUACCCUUGACAUCCUGCGAACCCUCCCGGAGGACGGAAGGGGUGCCUUCCGGGAAACGCAAGAGACAGGUGCUGCAUGGCUUUCGUCAAGCUCCGUGUUGUGA